UCUCCAUCCCCUUCCCAACCGCCGCUCCAAUCGUCCCUUGCCAAAGCCACCGCCCUUCUCCUUCCUUUUCUCCGGCCGCCGCCUAUCUCCUUACCAUCCGCACAUCCUGCUUCUCCUCCACCUGGAGUCGCCUGCCGUCUCAUCCCUCUCUCCUCUCCCCCCAGGAGCCGCCUCCCGUCUCGUCCCUCUGUACGACGAGCCGCCUCCCAUCGUAAUUGAAGGCUAUUUUUUUUGCUUCUCUUUCUGUACACAGCAUGACAACAGCAAUGGCUUGGCUUUUUUUAUUUUUUAUUUUUUUUUGUAAAAAUUGGCCAUGAGGAUGGAAUGGCUUUUGAUAUUGAACAUAAUCAUCAAGAUACAUGCACACGUUGUGAAAAUUUCGUUUGAUACAUGUACAACAAAGUAAAAGCUUCAUAAUCAUAUAAAUAUACAAUUUCAAUUUUUUCCCAUCGAAACUGGAAUUGGAACUGGUGUCACACUUGGAUUCUACAAGCCGAUUCAAUGUGCAUCCAUAUAAGAAAAACAGAAUUUAGGUCCAAUUAUGUUUUCUAGGAAUAUUGGUAUUCAUCUCAAUUCAACAUCUACAUCCAAACGAAGCUUAAGAGAUUGGUCAAUACUUGACCCAUAUAAGACGCCUAGCCCAGCGGACAUAAAAACUCAGAAGUCACAAACAAAGAGUACGCACACACAAAGUAGACCUGUGAUUUCGGCAUUUUGGCAGGCACAUAUUCUUGAGUCUAGACGCUACAUAGAGACAGGCCUACCAGCCGACGGAUCGCCAAGAGGCCUGUAAAGUCCAUAAGAUCGUAUACAAAUUUUUUUUUAAAUGAAACCACCCGCAUUAGAUCACAUUUUAACUCUUAAUUUGGUGGUGCUGCAGUUAUUUUAUUUUUUGUAUUCCUAUUUUAUUUUCCGUAGCAACGCACGGGCUUUUGACUAGUUAUUUAAUACGUUGAAGCGUUCCCUUAGCUGCUCUCCAUGGUGUCUUGUGUCCUGGACCUGGUGUUUGUUUUGGGGGAACUUUCUGCUUGGGCUUUCUAAGGGUGAAUCGUGCAUCACCGUGAGGAGACUCCCAAUUCAUCUAAUACUUAGUUAGCUCAGGUUGACGGAUGAAAGAACUGAUUGCAUUGGUGACUGCCAUCUCCUCCACUUGCAGUAGGCUAAUUCCAUCCAUAUAUUCCUCAUGUUCACCAAUUAACUCCAACACAUGCGUAUCUCUUUUCAUCUUGCGAAAAUAAUGGGGACGAAAUUGAGCAGACACAUCUAGAAGCGGCCAAUCAUUCACAGCAUUUCUGUCAGCUUCAUAAGGUGAGCUUUGGCGGUUGUGCUGGUCCACGACCACAAAAGAUAUACACCAUUGGAAUCUCAUUGCAAUAACUUGUUCUGGAAAUCUGCAUGAUAAUUCUCAUGGGAUCACAUGGUUUGCACAAGCCUUUUACCAAUUCGAGUAUCCAAAAGAGAUGGGUUCGAUUUGCUAGCAUUAUCACAUACUCCACUUUCUCACCUCGGAGAAGUUGCGGGAUGAGAGGGCAGAAAAACCUGUAGCGCGCAAGUGUACAACAAGAAUCCACUUUGCUCAUGAACUUAUCAGACUCGUUAGCGCGCCGCUCAAAUCUUCGAACAACAGAGCAACUCAGCUUGUCUUCGUUCAUGCCAUCUCCUCCACUUGCAGUAGGCUAAUUCCAUCCAUAUAUUCCUCAUGUUCACCAAUUAACUCCAUCGCAUGCGUAUCUCUUUUCAUCUUGCGAAAAUAAUGGGGGCGAAAUUGAGCAGACACAUCUAGAAGCGGCCAAUCAUUCGCAGCAUUUCUGUCAGCUUCAUAAGGUGAGCUUUGGCGGUUGUGCUGGUCCACGACCACAAAAGAUAUACACCAUUGGAAUCUCAUUGCAAUAACUUGUUCUGGAAAUCUGCAUGAUAAUUCUCAUGGGAUCACAUGGUUUGCACAAGCCUUUUACCAAUUCGAGUAUCCAAAAGUGAUG
This 1979-nucleotide long non-coding RNA is filed under the name Brachypodium distachyon (stiff brome). RNAcentral describes it as "long non-coding RNA (BDIS_LNC005894)". Lineage: Eukaryota; Viridiplantae; Streptophyta; Magnoliopsida; Poales; Poaceae. The record is from RNAcentral.